CCCUAACCCUGAUAGCAGCGGCAUCCUUUUUAGGCAAACCAAAACAGCUAAAAUUAAACCGUAAACCUUCUGCCUAAAAAGAUAUAACGUCCCGAGGCUUCGGGAGCAGGAAACAGC
This 117-nucleotide small RNA is filed under the name Flavobacterium circumlabens. Its description in RNAcentral is "Flavo-1 RNA". The record is from RNAcentral. Lineage: Bacteria; Pseudomonadati; Bacteroidota; Flavobacteriia; Flavobacteriales; Flavobacteriaceae.